RNAcentral lists this ribosomal RNA (492 nucleotides) under uncultured bacterium. RNAcentral's name for it is "partial 16S ribosomal RNA". It matches the Rfam family "Bacterial small subunit ribosomal RNA", at positions 29 to 507 of the family's 1533-position model. The record is from RNAcentral.
AGUGAACGCUGGCGGUAGGCCUAACACAUGCAAGUCGAACGGCAGCACAGUAAGAGCUCGCCCUUACGGGUGGCGAGUGGCGGACGGGUGAGGCAUACAUCGGAAUCUACUUUUUCGUGGGGGACAACGUGGGGAAACUUACGCUAAUACCGCAUAUGACCUACGGGUGAAAGCAGGGGAUAUUCGCACCUUGCGCGACUGAAUGAGCCGAUGUCGGAUUAGCUAGUUGGCGGGGUAAAGGCCCACCAAGGCGACGAUCCGUAGCUGGUCUGAGAGGAUGAUCAGCCACACUGGAACUGAGACACGGUCCAGACUCCUACGGGAGGCAGCAGUAGGGAAUAUUGGGCAAUGGGCGCAAGCCUGAUCCAGCCAUACCGCGUGAGUGAUGAAGGCCUUCGGGUUGUAAAGCCCUUUUAUUGGGAAAGAAAAGCAGCAGGUUAAUACCCCGCUGUUCUGACGGUACCCAAAGAGUAAGCACCGGCUAACUUCGUG